RNAcentral lists this long non-coding RNA (1253 nucleotides) under Lathyrus oleraceus (garden pea). Its description in RNAcentral is "Pisum sativum (pea) long non-coding RNA (PSAT_LNC039819)". The record is from RNAcentral. Lineage: Eukaryota; Viridiplantae; Streptophyta; Magnoliopsida; Fabales; Fabaceae.
AUGAUUGGGACAAGUUGGUUAGGUAAAAUGAUAUUCUUUUGCAUUUAUACUCUUUAAAUGACAUACUCUUCGUUACACUAGCCUAACGGCUCUUCUAAAUUAGGUUGCAUAUUGAAUACAAGAUCUUGUAGACGGGAUGGAAGUUUUGCAGAUUGUGUUCUUAUGCUUUUAUUUGGUCAGCUCUCAAUAAGAAUGACUUCAUAUUUCAGUCUUUUUUGUUGAUACUUGUUGUAAAUAUUAGAUUGUAAAUAGUAAUUAUUUCUAUUAGUAAUGAGGCCCAUUAGAUUUUCUAUUCUCUCUUAUUUAAAGCAUGUAGAUGUAACAUGUAAGAAUCACUUUUUAAUAUAUCAGUAAAAUAUUUUACAACAUGGUAUCAAGAGCUCCCGAUUUUGGGGGAUUCGCUUCCACCUAAACCCUAGCCGCCUUGUAGCGGAGUUUUUUUUACUGCAGUUUGCAGUUUGUUGUUGUUUUUGGGUGUUUGGGUCAUUGUUGUUUUGUGUUGUAGCACAUCGUGCUUCUUGUUUUUGUUCACUCAUCUUUGAAACCCUAACCCAUCCUGUUUCUUGGUUUGUUUUCUCUCGAUUGUCCUUUCAAUGGCUGAGAUUAUUAACGAUCAACCACCUCCACCUCCACCUCCACCUCCCACAAAUCCACCAGUUACUGGGUCUCUAGCAGUUACUGGUAAGAGUUUGUGUUCCCGAUCUCUUACUGUUUGUGGUAAUAUUCCUAAGAAUGCGUGGAUUCUUGACUCUGGUGCUACUAAUCAUAUGACAUUUGAUUUCACAUUAAUAUGCUCUUAUACCACACCUUCGAGUAUUCCUUAUAUCACUGUUGCUGAUGGCUCUCAUGCUUGUGUUGUUGGCACUGGAAAUAUUGACUUGCAACCUCCAUUCCAGUUGCAAUCUGUGCUUCAUGUUCCCAUACUUUCCCACAAUUUAAUUUCCAUCCAUAAGCUUACCCGUGAUCUGAAUUGUAAAGUAAUUUUUUCUAUGUCCCAUUGUGUUUUUCAGGACCUUACCACGGGGCAGACGAUUGGAAUUGCUAAGGAAAAGGAAGGGUUAUACUACUUCUCUGAUGACCAUCCAAAGGUAUUGUCCUCCUGUUUCCAGUCUCAGUCUUCCUCUUCAGCCUCACAAAUUUGGCUUCAGCACAAGCGUCUCGGUCAUCCUCCAUUUUAUAUAAUUAAGUCUAUGUUUCUGUCGUUGUUCUUACACCAUUCUGUUGAGUCUUUUAAGUGUGAUGUUUGUCAGUUG